This 435-nucleotide ribosomal RNA is filed under the name uncultured bacterium. RNAcentral's name for it is "partial 16S ribosomal RNA". It matches the Rfam family "Bacterial small subunit ribosomal RNA", at positions 29 to 507 of the family's 1533-position model. The record is from RNAcentral.
AGCGAACGCUGGCGGCAGGCUUAACACAUGCAAGUCGAGCGGGCACUUUCGGGUGUCAGCGGCGGACGGGUGAGUAACGCGUGGGAACGUGCCCUCUGGUUCGGAAUAACUCAGGGAAACUUGAGCUAAUACCGGAUACGCCCUUUUGGGGAAAGGCUUGCUGCCGGAGGAUCGGCUCGCGUCUGAUUAGCUUGCUGGUGAGGUAACGGCUCACCAAGGCGACGAUCCGUAGCUGGUCUGAGAGGAUGAUCAGCCACACUGGGACUGAGACACGGCCCAGACUCCUACGGGAGGCAGCAGUGGGGAAUAUUGGACAAUGGGCGCAAGCCUGAUCCAGCCAUGCCGCGUGAGUGAUGAAGGCCUUAGGGUUGUAAAGCUCUUUUAUCCGGGACGAUAAUGACGGUACCGGAGGAAUAAGCCCCGGCUAACUUCGUG